Long non-coding RNA from Phasianus colchicus (ring-necked pheasant), 908 nucleotides. RefSeq lists it as uncharacterized. The record is from RefSeq and is a predicted model, not a curated record. Lineage: Eukaryota; Metazoa; Chordata; Aves; Galliformes; Phasianidae.
CUGGAGGUUGUUGCCUUUGUAGUUUUUCUGUAAACCUAGGAUGGAGCAGGAGCCAGAGGAGCCUGAAGGGCGGCUUUAGCCCAUGCCAGAUGCCACCAGCCCUGGGGGAGUGCUGCAGCAUCCUGGCAGUGACAGAGUUGCCGAGGAGUCCUGGCCAGGGGCCUGGCACAGGCAGCAGUGUGAGAAGCUGCUCUGCUCUGAGAGCUGUCCUGACUGAGGAUGUGGUAACCAACACAAACAAUCCUGCUGAGCCCCACUGAUGUAUCUGCCCUGCCAAUGCCAGGGACCAUGGGAAGGAACCAUUGCAACGGGCUCAGUGGACAGGUCACUCUUGCUGUCAUCUCCAAGCAAACAAGUGUGUGAUGUGCUCCAUGGAGAAAUGUGAAUGCAGCUAUGCCUCUGUCAGUUGAUAAGCAACAAUACUGCUGGUUAAUUGCUUCAAAAGUGUUAACCAGCAGCUCAUUAGUCUUAAAGAUUUAAACUCAAUAACCCUUUUAAUGUGAUAUUGAAUGAGAAGUGAGUAAAUAAUUGCAUGCUGAUACCUGCCACUGAGAUACAUGAGAUGUGGGUUAAAGAUAGAGAAAAGCAAAACCUGACUGAAAUAUUUGGGAAGAUGAGAAAGAUGCAAGUCACAACCUCAGUCUGCAAUAUGAAUCCGAGCCCAGGUUUUCUAUAAUGACUGUUUUGAUAGGAGUAACAAAUAAUAGCCAACUUGUCUGCGCUGAGAGUUAACCCCAGUACAGAAACAAAACCACUCUACUCUUAAUUUAGUAACUAAAGAAGAAUACCAUAGAGAGGCUGAGUGGAAGAUUGUAACAAAUGCUGGAGCUUUCCUUAUAGCUCAUCGACUCCUCUCCUGCAGCAUGUGUUUAUGGGUGCUUCUUCAAUCACUGAGGCUAUAAAUUACU